This 253-nucleotide ribosomal RNA is filed under the name uncultured bacterium. Its description in RNAcentral is "partial 16S ribosomal RNA". It matches the Rfam family "Bacterial small subunit ribosomal RNA", at positions 524 to 776 of the family's 1533-position model. The record is from RNAcentral.
UACGAAGGGGGCUAGCGUUGUUCGGAAUUACUGGGCGUAAAGCGCGCGCAGGCGGUUUUUCAAGUCAGGGGUGAAAUCCUGGAGCUCAACUCCAGAACUGCCUUUGAUACUGAAGAUCUUGAGUUCGGGAGAGGUGAGUGGAACUGCGAGUGUAGAGGUGAAAUUCGUAGAUAUUCGCAAGAACACCAGUGGCGAAGGCGGCUCACUGGCCCGAUACUGACGCUGAGGCACGAAAGCGUGGGGAGCAAACAGG